UGGUGUGUCUCUCGGUGAGAGGGCGGUUCGAGUCCGCAGCGCGAGUUCUCGCGUUAUGGUCCCCGGCAGGUUCAAUUCCUGCGCACACCAACCA
This 94-nucleotide transfer RNA is filed under the name Mycobacteroides abscessus subsp. bolletii. RNAcentral's name for it is "tRNA-Ser(cga)". The record is from RNAcentral. Lineage: Bacteria; Bacillati; Actinomycetota; Actinomycetes; Mycobacteriales; Mycobacteriaceae. RNAcentral also lists the same sequence under 1 other name.